UAAUUUUCAUGACGACGUCAAAAUUUACGGGAACUUUUGUGGGGAAUAGUUUAGUACGUGCUAACAAAAUCAUGCAAAUGCCAUUGACAAUUAUGAAUCAUUUUAUAGUACAACAAACAUGGAGUAAUAAUGAUCAUAACACUUUUUCAAAUUUUCAAUGUUUCAAAAUGCCUAUUUACGAAAUGUUACAAUAAAUAUAUAUGGAGGU
This 208-nucleotide long non-coding RNA is filed under the name Mytilus galloprovincialis (Mediterranean mussel). The record is from RNAcentral. Lineage: Eukaryota; Metazoa; Mollusca; Bivalvia; Mytilida; Mytilidae.